RNAcentral lists this ribosomal RNA (778 nucleotides) under uncultured Mycobacterium sp. RNAcentral describes it as "bacterial SSU rRNA". It matches the Rfam family "Bacterial small subunit ribosomal RNA", at positions 575 to 1352 of the family's 1533-position model. The record is from RNAcentral. Lineage: Bacteria; Bacillati; Actinomycetota; Actinomycetes; Mycobacteriales; Mycobacteriaceae.
GUGGUUUGUCGCGUUGUUCGUGAAAACUCACAGCUUAACUGUGGGCGUGCGGGCGAUACGGGCAGACUAGAGUACUGCAGGGGAGACUGGAAUUCCUGGUGUAGCGGUGGAAUGCGCAGAUAUCAGGAGGAACACCGGUGGCGAAGGCGGGUCUCUGGGCAGUAACUGACGCUGAGGAGCGAAAGCGUGGGGAGCGAACAGGAUUAGAUACCCUGGUAGUCCACGCCGUAAACGGUGGGUACUAGGUGUGGGUUCCUUCCUUGGGAUCCGUGCUGUAGCUAACGCAUUAAGUACCCCGACUGGGGAGUACGGCCGCGAGGCUAAAACUCAAAGGAAUUGACGGGGGCUCGCACAAGCGGCGGAGCAUGUGGAUUAAUUCGAUGCAACGCGAAGAACCUUACCUGGGUUUGACAUGCACAGGACGCCGGCAGAGAUGUCGGUUCCCUUGUGGCCUGUGUGCAGGUGGUGCAUGGCUGUCGUCAGCUCGUGUCGUGAGAUGUUGGGUUAAGUCCCGCAACGAGCGCAACCCUUGUCCUAUGUUGCCAGCGGGUUAUGCCGGGGACUCGUAGGAGACUGCCGGGGUCAACUCGGAGGAAGGUGGGGAUGACGUCAAGUCAUCGUGCCCCUUAUGUCCAGGGCUUCACACAUGCUACAAUGGCCGGUACAAAGGGCUGCGAUGCCGUGAGGUGGAGCGAAUCCUUUCAAAGCCGGUCUCAGUUCGGAUCGGGGUCUGCAACUCGACCCCGUGAAGUCGGAGUCGCUAGUAAUCGCAGAUCAG